This 527-nucleotide ribosomal RNA is filed under the name Bacillus pumilus. RNAcentral describes it as "bacterial SSU rRNA". It matches the Rfam family "Bacterial small subunit ribosomal RNA", at positions 67 to 577 of the family's 1533-position model. The record is from RNAcentral. Lineage: Bacteria; Bacillati; Bacillota; Bacilli; Caryophanales; Bacillaceae.
CGGACAGAAGGGAGCUUGCUCCCGGAUGUUAGCGGCGGACGGGUGAGUAACACGUGGGUAACCUGCCUGUAAGACUGGGAUAACUCCGGGAAACCGGAGCUAAUACCGGAUAGUUCCUUGAACCGCAUGGUUCAAGGAUGAAAGACGGUUUCGGCUGUCACUUACAGAUGGACCCGCGGCGCAUUAGCUAGUUGGUGGGGUAAUGGCUCACCAAGGCGACGAUGCGUAGCCGACCUGAGAGGGUGAUCGGCCACACUGGGACUGAGACACGGCCCAGACUCCUACGGGAGGCAGCAGUAGGGAAUCUUCCGCAAUGGACGAAAGUCUGACGGAGCAACGCCGCGUGAGUGAUGAAGGUUUUCGGAUCGUAAAGCUCUGUUGUUAGGGAAGAACAAGUGCGAGAGUAACUGCUCGCACCUUGACGGUACCUAACCAGAAAGCCACGGCUAACUACGUGCCAGCAGCCGCGGUAAUACGUAGGUGGCAAGCGUUGUCCGGAAUUAUUGGGCGUAAAGGGCUCGCAGGCG